UGCAGUAAGCUUCACAAAAACUUCAACCAGAGGGUGAUAAUCAUGCAUCAAGCUUCGCAAAAAAGAAAAAUUCAAAUCAGAACUCAAGCGUGUUACCAACAGAUUAAAAGCAAAACACCCAUCUGUACACGAAGAAUUAUAUCUGAAAAAUAAGAGGAAUUGGAAGAACAAGUCUAUUAAGAAUGAAAUCGAUAAUAAUAUUAAUUAAAUCAUUACAAUAAAAC
This 224-nucleotide long non-coding RNA is filed under the name Trifolium pratense (red clover). RNAcentral's name for it is "long non-coding RNA (TPRA_LNC011307)". The record is from RNAcentral. Lineage: Eukaryota; Viridiplantae; Streptophyta; Magnoliopsida; Fabales; Fabaceae.